Lycium barbarum (goji berry) is the source of this 1880-nucleotide long non-coding RNA. RefSeq lists it as uncharacterized. The transcript is spliced from 2 exons. The record is from RefSeq and is a predicted model, not a curated record. Lineage: Eukaryota; Viridiplantae; Streptophyta; Magnoliopsida; Solanales; Solanaceae.
UCUAAAGGCAGUCACUUCAUUUUAAUUUCAAAGAAAAACUUUAGAUAUUUCCAAAUUUUCUCUCUCUAAAGUUCUCAGUUUUUCUUUCGUUUUUCUUCUGCAUUCAUCAUUUUAAUAUGUUAAUAUGGUAUCAGAACAGAGAUUCCGCUUCCGUAUAUGAUUUCCUAUCGAGCGAUACUACCCUCGUACACUUUUGUUGAAGUUUUUUUUCCUCACUGGAGUUCUGAUAACUUCGUCGAUGAUUUACGUGAUUUUCGGUGGUUUUAACGGUUGUUUUGGUGUUUAUUGUUGCGAAUAAGCACCAAUUUUGGUUGUAUUUUGAGAUUUGACAGAAUUAGGGUUUGUUUUCGGGUUUUCUCGGCGAAAGGGUUUCCAGGUUGGAGUCUUCGCAAUUGAGCAUUUUUUGACAUCGUGUUUUGCGCAAGUUCAUUUCUACAGGAGAUUCGGUACAUUCGUUCCUUGAUUCUUCUCUAGUUCUUGUCUAUUAAGCUUUGUAUACUCCUAUGUUUUUGUUUGAUUUGUGUGAAUAUGGGGACUACAGCACCAGCUAAUGCUUCCUCUACUACCGCUACUACUUACAUUCUUGACUCUUUGAGUCCAUUGUAUCUUGCGUCUUCUGAUGUGCCCGGGAUAUCUCUUGUCCCUGUUCCUUUCUCCGGGACUGGGUUUGGGUGUUGGAGGAGAAACAUGGACAUUUCUCUCUCCGCUAGGAAUAAAAUUUCCCUAAUAGAUGGGAGUUGUAUUAAACCUUCUGAUGAUUCACCUCAGCUUAGGCAGUGGAGUAGGGUUAAUCAUUUGGUGAUGUCUUGGAUAACUCAUUCCCUUUCCUCUGAGAUAGCUGAGAGUGUGCAGUACUCAGAAACUGUAGAGAGUAUUUGGUCUUAUUUGAAUAAGAGAUAUGGGACUAGACUUUUUUAGCUUAAAAAAGAGAUAGCUUUCUCUAGUCAGGGGGUAUUUGGACAUUGCUUUCUAUUUCAAUAAGCUCAAGAAACACUGGGAUAAAUUGAGUUUCUGCGCACUAAAAAUCUAAAUAGGUGCUCCUAUGAGGCUAGGGAUGCACUUAUUCAAGAGGAAGAAGAGAAUAGACUCUAUCAGCUCCUCAUGGAACUUAAUGAGACUUAUGUGGGGGUUAGGGAUAACCUACUAAUGCUAGAUCCUUUUCCUUUUUUGGACUUAGCUUAUAGUAUACUUUCACAUGAUGAGAAACAAAGGCAAGUCACUUCCAGCUCCAAAUUUAGCACUGAAUCUGCUUCUUUCAAUGUACAAACUGCUCCUCCCAAUAGACAAUUCACUCAGAGAGUCAAUUUUGCACCCAAAAAUUAGUUUCCUCCCAAGUCUAGUUUGGUGUUUAAAUAUUAUAAGAGGCCUGGGCAUCUUAUUGAUAAGUGCUACAAACUUCAUGGAUUUAACCCCUCACUUUAAGUUCAACAAAGGCAACAAAAUUGCUGCAACUGUUGAGGUUCAGCCUGGAAGCACUUAUGAUCAUGCUAGCUCCUCUAAGUAGGCUCCUAGUCUCACCAAGGAGCAGUACAAACCGUUGAUGCUCAUGUUGCAGCAGACUCAAAUUUCAGAUUCUCAGGCCUGCCUCUUAGCAUCUGUAAAUUUUGCUGUGAAGAGGCCACUGGAAGUUGGUAAACCGGAUGAUGGACUCUACAAGAUUCAACAAUCAUCUGCUUUGACUAGCUGUCUUUCUAGUUCCUCUGAUAUCUCUGUUCCUGUUUUUGUUAAUUCUGAUUAUUGUUCUUCUAUUUCUACUUCUCCGUUACCUGAUGUCAUUUCCAUUCCUUGUACAAAUCAUCCCUCGUUUAACAAAAUGGAGAUUUUAUGGCACAAUCUUUUAAGGCAUAUAUCUUUUUCUAGAAUGAAAGAUAUUUCUUCCA